RNAcentral lists this ribosomal RNA (609 nucleotides) under Helvella lacunosa. Its description in RNAcentral is "eukaryotic LSU rRNA". The stretch from base 254 to 407 matches the Rfam family "5.8S ribosomal RNA". Lineage: Eukaryota; Fungi; Ascomycota; Pezizomycetes; Pezizales; Helvellaceae. The record is from RNAcentral.
CCCAUUCGGGUGGAUACUCCACGGGCGAACGGGGGGCGCCGAUGGCACAUCGCCAUGGCGGCGCCCGACCUCCCCACUCUCUGCGUACGAAUCCCUGUUGCUUCCCCGGGGAGGGACACACCACCCGGGGAAGGACCACCCCCCCAGAGCACACGAUGCGGACCAACACUCAUGUACACCCCCCUCUCCAAUCGUCUGACGGCCAGCGUGACGACGAGCACGCAGCGACCGACGAACUGAACGCAAACAGAAAAACUUUCAACAACGGAUCUCUUGGUUCCCGCAUCGAUGAAGAACGCAGCGAAAUGCGAUAAGUAAUGUGAAUUGCAGAAUUCAGUGAAUCAUCGAAUCUUUGAACGCACAUUGCGCCCCCUGGCAUUCCGGGGGGCAUGCCUGUUCGAGCGUGUCCGAGAAAGAGACUCACGCGGGAGAACGCGUGGUGGUGAAGGCGGCGGCGGGCCCGACAGGGCGGCCACCCCGGCGGAAUCGAUGGGCGGAAGCCGGCCGCGUCGCAGAGCGUGAUAUCUUGCUAUCGCCUCGUGCGCGGCAGAGGUUUCCAGCCAAGGCCCCCAUGCAGGGCGGGCAGAGCGUGACAUUGGAACUCCUCGA